GCCUGAAUCGAAGGUCAUAGCAUAAAUUCUUAGCGCUGGCCGUCCCAAGACAGGGCGAAGGGAGCGGCGGCACACAGUUCGCGGCGCCAGGGUGGCAAGAGCAGGCCAAGGUGGCAGUGGACAGCACGCACAACAUAGU
Molecule: long non-coding RNA, 139 nt
Organism: Camelus ferus (Wild Bactrian camel)
Lineage: Eukaryota; Metazoa; Chordata; Mammalia; Artiodactyla; Camelidae
Rfam family: FTX transcript, XIST regulator conserved region 5
Source: Rfam